RNAcentral lists this ribosomal RNA (558 nucleotides) under uncultured bacterium. RNAcentral describes it as "partial 16S ribosomal RNA". It matches the Rfam family "Bacterial small subunit ribosomal RNA", at positions 355 to 900 of the family's 1533-position model. The record is from RNAcentral.
UAGGGAAUCUUCCACAAUGGACGCAAGUCUGAUGGAGCAACGCCGCGUGAGUGAAGAAGGUUUUCGGACCGUAAAGCUCUGUUGUUGGUGAAGAAGGAUAGAGGUAGUAACUGGCCUUUAUUUGACGGUAAUCAACCAGAAAGUCACGGCUAACUACGUGCCAGCAGCCGCGGUAAUACGUAGGUGGCAAGCGUUGUCCGGAUUUAUUGGGCGUAAAGCGAGCGCAGGCGGAAGAAUAAGUCUGAUGUGAAAGCCCUCGGCUUAACCGAGGAAUUGCAUCGGAAACUGUUUUUCUUGAGUGCAGAAGAGGAGAGUAGAACUCCAUGUGUAGCGGUGGAAUGCGUAGAUAUAUGGAAGAAUACCAGUGGCGAAGGCGGCUCUCUGGUCUGCAACUGACGCUGAGGCUCGAAAAGCAUGGGUAGCGAACAGGAUUAGAUACCCUGGUAGUCCAUGCCGUAAAACGAUGAGUGCUAAGUGUUGGGAGGCUUCCGCCUCUCAGUGCUGCAGCUAAACGCAUUAAGCACUCCGCCUGGGGGAGUACGACCGCAAGGUUGAAAC